Molecule: ribosomal RNA, 279 nt
Filed under: uncultured eukaryote
Lineage: Eukaryota
Description: partial small subunit ribosomal RNA
Source: RNAcentral
AGUUCGUGGAAUAUUCUGUCUGCUUAAUUGCGUCUUCUCAUCGGUACGACCCUUCAUCAAGGUGUGUCAUGUUGGGGCAGGUUCAAAUCUUCGAGAUUUGCUUGUUUUUUCCGACUGACCACCGAAGGAGUACGUACUUUUUGCAACGAACGUGACAUCUACCCUUCUUUUUUUGGGAUCACUUUCGAAAUGAACUUCGGUUCAAUUCGUUAUUUGUUGGACCCAUCACAGAAGGGGACUGCCAGUGUAAACUGGAGGAAGGUGGAUGCUAUAACAGGU